GCCGGGGUGGUGAAAUUGGUAGACACGAUGGAUUCAAAAUCCAUUGGCCGCGAGGCCGUGCCGGUUCAAGUCCGGCCCUCGGUACCA
RNAcentral lists this transfer RNA (87 nucleotides) under Thiolapillus brandeum. RNAcentral's name for it is "tRNA-Leu". It matches the Rfam family "tRNA". From Rfam's summary of the family: Transfer RNA (tRNA) molecules are approximately 80 nucleotides in length. Their secondary structure includes four short double-helical elements and three loops (D, anti-codon, and T loops). Further hydrogen bonds mediate the characteristic L-shaped molecular structure. tRNAs have two regions of fundamental functional importance: the anti-codon, which is responsible for specific mRNA codon recognition, and the 3' end, to which the tRNAs corresponding amino acid is attached (by aminoacyl-tRNA synthetases). tRNAs cope with the degeneracy of the genetic code in two manners: having more than one tRNA (with a specific anti-codon) for a particular amino acid; and 'wobble' base-pairing, i.e. permitting non-standard base-pairing at the 3rd anti-codon position. Lineage: Bacteria; Pseudomonadati; Pseudomonadota; Gammaproteobacteria; Chromatiales; Sedimenticolaceae. The record is from RNAcentral.